Molecule: ribosomal RNA, 301 nt
Filed under: uncultured bacterium
Lineage: Bacteria
Description: partial 16S ribosomal RNA
Rfam family: Bacterial small subunit ribosomal RNA
Source: RNAcentral
CAGCAGCCGCGGGAAUACGUAGGGUGCAAGCGUUAAUCGGAAUUACUGGGCGUAAAGCGUGCGCAGGCGGUUCGUUAAGACAGAUGUGAAAUCCCCGGGCUUAACCUGGGAACUGCAUUUGUGACUGGCGGCUAGAGUAUGGCAGAGGGGGGUAGAAUUCCACGUGUAGCAGUGAAAUGCGUAGAGAUGUGGAGGAAUACCGAUGGCGAAGGCAGCCCCCUGGGCCAAUACUGACGCUCAUGCACGAAAGCGUGGGGAGCAAACAGGAUUAGAUACCCCGGUAGUCCCUGUCUCUUAUACA